Molecule: ribosomal RNA, 703 nt
Filed under: Salmonella enterica subsp. enterica serovar Virchow
Lineage: Bacteria; Pseudomonadati; Pseudomonadota; Gammaproteobacteria; Enterobacterales; Enterobacteriaceae
Description: partial 23S ribosomal RNA
Rfam family: Bacterial large subunit ribosomal RNA
Source: RNAcentral
AGACCCGAAACCCGGUGAUCUAGCCAUGGGCAGGUUGAAGGUUGGGUAACACUAACUGGAGGACCGAACCGACUAAUGUUGAAAAAUUAGCGGAUGACCUGUGGCUGGGGGUGAAAGGCCAAUCAAACCGGGAGAUAGCUGGUUCUCCCCGAAAGCUAUUUAGGUAGCGCCUCGUGAAUUCAUCUCCGGGGGUAGAGCACUGUUUCGGCUAGGGGGCCAUCCCGGCUUACCAACCCGAUGCAAACUGCGAAUACCGGAGAAUGUUAUCACGGGAGACACACGGCGGGUGCUAACGUCCGUCGUGAAGAGGGAAACAACCCAGACCGCCAGCUAAGGUCCCAAAGUCAUGGUUAAGUGGGAAACGAUGUGGGAAGGCCCAGACAGCCAGGAUGUUGGCUUAGAAGCAGCCAUCAUUUAAAGAAAGCGUAAUAGCUCACUGGUCGAGUCGGCCUGCGCGGAAGAUGUAACGGGGCUAAACCAUGCACCGAAGCUGCGGCAGCGACACUCAGGUGUUGUUGGGUAGGGGAGCGUUCUGUAAGCCUGUGAAGGUGGCCUGUGAGGGUUGCUGGAGGUAUCAGAAGUGCGAAUGCUGACAUAAGUAACGAUAAAGCGGGUGAAAAGCCCGCUCGCCGGAAGACCAAGGGUUCCUGUCCAACGUUAAUCGGGGCAGGGUGAGUCGACCCCUAAGGCGAGGCCGAAAGGC